UUGGGAGGAGGCUGUCUUGGAGCUGGACGAUAUGUGCAGGAAUUGCCCAAGCAGACGUGACAGCAACACUUCCGAAAUUAGCCUUUCAGUUGAAUCUGCGUUAGAAUGCUUCGACUUCCUUAAUGCUGAUGGAUGAUGAUUUUGAAGAUGAUAAUCCAGAUGCAUGUGAGGAAAAGAAGAAAAAAGAAGCAGCAGCUGUGUUUGCAGGUCCAUCAUUACCAGACACAAGUCAGCCUCUGGUCACUGGUACACCUCAGUUGGAUUCUUUCCUCUACACUCAUCUGAAACAUGCUCUUCAGUUUGUUGCAA
Molecule: long non-coding RNA, 309 nt
Organism: Penaeus monodon (black tiger shrimp)
Lineage: Eukaryota; Metazoa; Arthropoda; Malacostraca; Decapoda; Penaeidae
Exons: 3
Source: RefSeq, a predicted model, not a curated record